This 467-nucleotide ribosomal RNA is filed under the name uncultured bacterium. RNAcentral's name for it is "bacterial SSU rRNA". It matches the Rfam family "Bacterial small subunit ribosomal RNA", at positions 917 to 1382 of the family's 1533-position model. The record is from RNAcentral.
GGACCCGCACAAGCGGUGGAGCAUGUGGUUUAAUUCGACGCAACGCGAAGAACCUUACCAGGUCUUGACAUCCCUCUGACAUUGGUAGAGAUACUGAGUUUCCUUCGGGGACAGAGGAGACAGGUGGUGCAUGGUUGUCGUCAGCUCGUGUCGUGAGAUGUUGGGUUAAGUCCCGCAACGAGCGCAACCCUUGUCGUUAGUUACCAGCACUAGAGGUGGGGACUCUAACGAGACUGCCAGUGAUAAACUGGAGGAAGGUGGGGAUGACGUCAAAUCAUCAUGCCCCUUAUGACCUGGGCUACACACGUGCUACAAUGGGUGGUACAAAGAGAAGCGAAGCGGUGACGUGGAGCAAAACUCAAAAAGCCACUCUCAGUUCGGAUUGUAGUCUGCAACUCGACUACAUGAAGUCGGAAUCGCUAGUAAUCGUGGAUCAGCAUGCCACGGUGAAUACGUUCCCGGGUCUU